AGGUUACUGCUAUCGGUGUUCGCCUAAGCCAUGCGAGUCAUAUGUUCUUCGUGAACAUGGCGUACUGCUCAGUAACACGUGGAUAACCUGCCCUUGGGUCCGGCAUAACCCCGGGAAACUGGGGAUAAUUCCGGAUAACGCACAUAUGCUGGAAUGCUUUAUGCGUCAAAUGGAUUCGUCCGCCCAAGGAUGGGUCUGCGGCCUAUCAGGUAGUAGUGGGUGUAAUGUACCUACUAGCCUACGACGGGUACGGGUUGUGAGAGCAAGAGCCCGGAGAUGGACUCUGAGACAUGAAUCCAGGCCCUACGGGGCGCAGCAGGCGCGAAAACUUUACAAUGCGGGAAACCGUGAUAAGGGGACACCGAGUGCCAGCAUCAUAUGCUGGCUGUCCGGGUGUGUAAAAUACACCUGUUAGCAAGGGCCGGGCAAGACCGGUGCCAGCCGCCGCGGUAACACCGGCGGCCCGAGUGGUGAUCGUGAUUAUUGGGUCUAAAGGGUCCGUAGCCGGUUUGGUCAGUCCUCCGGGAAAUCUGACGGCUUAACCGUUAGGCUUUCGGGGGAUACUGCCAGACUUGGAACCGGGAGAGGUAAGAGGUACUACAGGGGUAGGAGUGAAAUCUUGUAAUCCCUGUGGGACCACCUGUGGCGAAGGCGUCUUACCAGAACGGGUUCGACGGUGAGGGACGAAAGCUGGGGGCACGAACCGGAUUAGAUACCCGGGUAGUCCCAGCCGUAAACGAUGCUCGCUAGGUGUCAGGCAUGGCGCGACCGUGUCUGGUGCCGCAGGGAAGCCGUGAAGCGAGCCACCUGGGAAGUACGGCCGCAAGGCUGAAACUUAA
RNAcentral lists this ribosomal RNA (839 nucleotides) under uncultured archaeon. RNAcentral's name for it is "bacterial SSU rRNA". It matches the Rfam family "Archaeal small subunit ribosomal RNA", at positions 21 to 859 of the family's 1478-position model. The record is from RNAcentral.